CAUAUCAAUAAGCGGAGGAAAAGAAACCAACAGGGAUUGCCCUAGUAACGGCGAGUGAAGCGGCAACAGCUCAAAUUUGAAAUCUGGCUCUUUUAGAGUCCGAGUUGUAAUUUGCAGAGGGCGCUUUGGCUUUGGCAGCGGUCCAAGUUCCUUGGAACAGGACGUCACAGAGGGUGAGAAUCCCGUACGUGGUCGCUGGCUAUUGCCGUGUAAAGCCCCUUCGACGAGUCGAGUUGUUUGGGAAUGCAGCUCUAAAUGGGAGGUACAUUUCUUCUAAAGCUAAAUAUUGGCCAGAGACCGAUAGCGCACAAGUAGAGUGAUCGAAAGAUGAAAAGCACUUUGGAAAGAGAGUCAAACAGCACGUGAAAUUGUUGAAAGGGAAGCGCUUGCAGCCAGACUUGCUUACAGUUGCUCAUCCGGGUUUUUACCCGGUGCACUCUUCUGUAGGCAGGCCAGCAUCAGUUUGGGCGGUAGGAUAAAGGUCUCUGUCACGUACCUCCUUUCGGGGAGGCCUUAUAGGGGAGACGACAUACUACCAGCCUGGACUGAGGUCCGCGCAUCUGCUAGGAUGCUGGCGUAAUGGCUGUAAGCGGCCCGUCUUGAAACACGGACCAAGGAGUCUAACAUCUAUGCGAGUGUUUGGGUGUCAAGCCCGAGCGCGUAAUGAAAGUGAACGGAGGUGGGAACCCGCAAGGGUGCACCAUCGACCGAUCCUGAUGUCUUCGGAAGGAUUUGAGUAAGAGCAUGGCUGUUGGGACCCGAAAGAUGGUGAACUAUGCUUGAAUAGGGUGAAGCCAGAGGAAACUCUGGUGGAGGCUCGCAGCGGUUCUGACGUGCAAAUCGAUCGUCAAAUUUGGGCAUAGGGGCGAAAGACUAAUCGAACUAUCUAGUAGCUGGUUCCUGCCGAGCCUCCCCUCCAACGUAGUAAA
This 929-nucleotide ribosomal RNA is filed under the name Alternaria alternata. RNAcentral's name for it is "partial large subunit ribosomal RNA". It matches the Rfam family "Eukaryotic large subunit ribosomal RNA", at positions 39 to 985 of the family's 3401-position model. The record is from RNAcentral. Lineage: Eukaryota; Fungi; Ascomycota; Dothideomycetes; Pleosporales; Pleosporaceae.